CCUUCAUUCUGUAUUGCAUUAGAGAGAUGGAUUUUGGCGUAUAUUUAAGUCAUACUCUCAACUGUAACUCAUUUUUCAUAUAUACGUAAGUUUUCUGGAGGUAAUUGAAUGUUUUGAGUAGGUAUAAAUUGCUUUCAUGGUUAUUUUAGGUAUUAUGGCGCCUGUGUUUACGCUGUUUUAGUAGAUUUUGCGUCAUUAUAUUGAAUUUUAGCUCAAUUUUAAGUCAUUUUUCAAGUCUACUAAUUUUUCUGGAGCCAUAUUGAAUGUUUUGACGAAGUUGGUGUCAUGGUUCUUUUAGGUGUUAUGGCGCAUGUGUUUAGGCUACGUUCCUUUAAUUUAUGUUGCGUCACUAUGUUGAAUCUUAGCUCAAUUUUAAGUCAUUUUUCAUAUAUAAGUUUUUUGGAGCUAAUUGAAUGUUUUGAGUAAAUCUAAGUUGCUUUCAUGGUUCUUUUAGGUACUAUGGCGCCUGUGUUUAUGUUCUUUUAGGAGAUAUUGCGUCAUUAUUUUGAAUUUUAGGUCAAUUUUAAGUCAUUUUUCAUAUUUAAGUUUUUUGGAGCUAAUUGAAUGUUUUGAGUAAAUAUAAAUUGCUCUCAUGGUUCUUUUAGGUACUAUGGCGCCUGUGUUUAUGUUCUUUUAGGAGAUAUUGCGUCACUAUGUUGAAUUUUAGCUCAAUUUUAAGUA
Eriocheir sinensis (Chinese mitten crab) is the source of this 681-nucleotide long non-coding RNA. RefSeq lists it as uncharacterized. The record is from RefSeq and is a predicted model, not a curated record. The transcript has 2 exons. Lineage: Eukaryota; Metazoa; Arthropoda; Malacostraca; Decapoda; Varunidae.